GGGGAAUCCGACUGUUUAAUU
This 21-nucleotide non-coding RNA is filed under the name Chlamydomonas reinhardtii. RNAcentral also lists the same sequence under 2 other names. Lineage: Eukaryota; Viridiplantae; Chlorophyta; Chlorophyceae; Chlamydomonadales; Chlamydomonadaceae. The record is from RNAcentral.